Molecule: ribosomal RNA, 333 nt
Filed under: uncultured Synergistaceae bacterium
Lineage: Bacteria; Thermotogati; Synergistota; Synergistia; Synergistales; Synergistaceae
Description: bacterial SSU rRNA
Rfam family: Bacterial small subunit ribosomal RNA
Source: RNAcentral
UGUCGUCAGCUCGUGUCGUGAGAUGUUGGGUUAAGUCCCGCAACGAGCGCAACCCUGCACUCAGUUGCCAUCGGGUGAAGCCGGGCACUCUGGAAGGACUGCCAUCGACAAGAUGGAGGAAGGUGGGGACGACGUCAAGUCAUCAUGGCCCUUAUGUCCAGGGCGACACACGUGCUACAAUGGCCGGCACAACGGGAAGCGAGUUCGCGAGGACGAGCGGAUCCCUUAAAGCCGGUCGCAGUUCGGAUUGAAGUCUGCAACUCGACUUCAUGAAGCUGGAAUCGCUAGUAAUCGCAGAUCAGCCAAGCUGCGGUGAAUACGUUCCCGGGCCUU